UCCCUUUUCAAGUGCUUUCGCGAUCCCUAUAUUGGGGAUGCCGCUUCGCGCGGCUAUGGCAAUAAACGGCGUUGUAAUAAGCCAUUCGGACCCGGGGGCGGUACCCGGCGCCUCCACCAAGAUCCGGCGAAGCCGGGGCCAGACCUUCAGGGCGCGGCCGGAUGUUGAUGGGGGCGAAACAGGAUCGACGAGGGUGUAAAGAACGACUUUUUGCUCGGCAUGAUACCACCGUUAUCG
Molecule: transfer-messenger RNA, 237 nt
Filed under: Hyphomicrobiales bacterium
Lineage: Bacteria; Pseudomonadati; Pseudomonadota; Alphaproteobacteria; Hyphomicrobiales
Description: Rhizobiales bacterium partial transfer-messenger RNA
Rfam family: Alphaproteobacteria transfer-messenger RNA
About the family: Bacterial tmRNA, also known as 10Sa RNA or SsrA, is named for its dual tRNA and mRNA-like properties.
Source: RNAcentral